UUGUUUUGAUAAAGAAGAGGAAAAGCCAAUCCUGCCGAAGAAGACGCUGGAAAACCACGUGACGUCAUUGCCCAUUCCUGCAACGCCAUAGGUGAUGCAACACCAGAAGACCUCCGUCAUCGACCCCAAUUCUCUCCUCUUCAUCUCUCCGAUUUUCUUCUUCCCUCUCUUCGUCCGCCAUUUUCCUCCCACGCAUCACGCACUAUCGGUCGCCACUUCUUCCCACCUUAACUGACCUCCUCCUCCUCCUCUUCCUCCUCCUUCUCCUCUUCUUCUUCUUCUCCACUUCUUCGUCGUCGAUUGAUUUGCAACAUUUGCAACGAUGGCUGCUCACCAACUCGUUGCAACUUUGAUCUUCCGUCUGCUGUUGCCUCUCGUCCUGGGAAUAUGUGAGUACGAUUCGAUCUCAUUCGUGAUCCUGUUUUAGAGGAUCGAAUUCCUUAUAGUUGAUUCUCUCUUUUUUUUUCUUUUUUUUUAAAUUUAAAUACAUCAUCUUCGGUUUUUGUGAUACCUUCAUAACUUCAUAGUUUAGUAGAAUACCUGUACAUCUAAGAAAUACGUGUAUUUCUGUUACAAACUGCACAAACAGCUCGUCCAAAACAACUAAACAUUUAUGAGGGAAAAAUGCACGAAGUUCCAGAGGUCUGGCGAAUCUGCUUUGGUAUUGAUCCUCUUACCUGCCUUCGGCCAUGUCACUUAUACUUCCCACAAUCGGUCAUGUCACUUAUACGAAGUCAAUACCAGUAUUAGACAUGAACAAACUUGUAUUUCAUAUCAAUUUCCUAUUACAUUUAAGUUCUUUCAUUUCUUUAAUUAGAUGAACAAUAAAUCAAAUUAUUGUUAGAAAUUAAGAGGGGAAAUAAUGAUAGAAACAGAAGUUUAAUUAGAUUUUGUAUCAUAGUUAAAAUGUUUUCUAAUUAAAAGUACAUUAAAAAGAUUAUUACUAUAAUUUUUUAACUAUUAUUUUUUCAAGGUUGUCUUUUCUAUCCGUUAUUCCCGUGUUUGUUUAAAUCCUCAUUCCAUUUUCUUUCGUUUCU
RNAcentral lists this long non-coding RNA (1037 nucleotides) under Penaeus japonicus. RNAcentral describes it as "uncharacterized LOC122248425". The record is from RNAcentral. Lineage: Eukaryota; Metazoa; Arthropoda; Malacostraca; Decapoda; Penaeidae.